CACUGCCGUUAUAUCGUACAGUUAGAUCACGCGGCACAGUAUUGCAGAUCAUAUUGUUCGUGUGCGCGCGUUUUUCAGUCGUUGCACAAAGAAAAUAUUCAACCAAGAUUACAUAUGAAGACUACAUUCUAUGACAGGUGCGUUGACCUAUACACAUCGUGUCGUUAUUACAGUUCAUAUUCAUCCGCUGCACAAUAAUUUUUUUACAGAUCAGACGUGACCCGUCGAGUAAUUGGUCCACGUGCAGUUCGUUUUUUACAUUCCGUGGAAGCUUGGUUGCAGAACCUUGGACGGCACAUAGCUGGCGUCGAUCCUUGGACAGUCCAGGUGGAGGCGCGCGCUGAAAGAAGAGUUCUUCUGUCUUCAACUGCGUCACUGGAACCGCUGAAAUGAAAAUUUCUAUACUACUUAUUAUCUGUGUUGUAACAACAGAGUUUUUCGAGUUGCUUAGCAAUAUUUUGAUGGGUAUGACUUUGACAUUAUUCAGCAUGAAAUGCUCUAAGAUCUCGGUGUGCGUAUAGCCCAAUAAUUUUGUUAGUUCUAGGAUGUUGUAACAGAUACGCACCAGGAUGGGGUAUGUUAACAAUUAUAUACGGUCCUUCAUAUAGCAGACGCCACUUAGCGUUGCGUCGUUUGAGUGCUACAGAUUUAUGAUGAGUACGAAGUAGUACAAGCAUUCCUACCUCGAAUUUUUGUUUUCUUUUUAUUAUGUUUCUGUGAUGUUUGUUUCGUAUUUGUGCGUGAUGUGUCAAUGUAGUCAAUACUUCUUUUAUUUUCUGUUCAGGUGUGAUUUCCUUGUCUGACA
Molecule: long non-coding RNA, 805 nt
Organism: Schistocerca serialis cubense
Lineage: Eukaryota; Metazoa; Arthropoda; Insecta; Orthoptera; Acrididae
Exons: 4
Source: RefSeq, a predicted model, not a curated record